RNAcentral lists this long non-coding RNA (1302 nucleotides) under Oncorhynchus kisutch (coho salmon). Its description in RNAcentral is "lncRNA (ENSOKIG00005003495.1)". Lineage: Eukaryota; Metazoa; Chordata; Actinopteri; Salmoniformes; Salmonidae. The record is from RNAcentral.
UUUUAAAAAGAAAAUAACUUAACGUAAUAUCAGCCUGGAAUAGAAAUAAGUAUAUGAAUGUGAAUGGUGUGUAUGGACAGUAUGUGAAUAGAAAUGGUGUGUACAGCAGUAGUUAUAUAGGAUGACCCUUGACUAGAAUAUGGUAUGUACAUAUGAAGUGGGUAAAACAGUAUGUCAACAUUAUUAAAGUGACCCGUGUUCAAUGACUGUUUACAUGGUUGUCGAGUGGCACAGCGGUCUAAGUCACUGCAUCCCAGUGCUUUAGGUGUCACUACAGACACCCUGGUUUGAUUCCAGGCUGUAUCACAACCGGCUGUGAUUGGGAGUCCCAUAGGGCGGCGCAUAAUUGGCCCAGUGUCAUCCGGGGUAGGUCGUCAUUGUAAAUAAUAAUUUGUUCUUAACUGACUUGCCUAGUUAAAUAAAGGUAAAAAACAUAUGGCAGCAGGGUAGAGUACCAGGCUGGUAGCCGACUAGUGACAGUGUCUAAAGUUCAGGACAGGGUACUGGGCAGAGGCCGACUAGUGACAGUGUCUAAAGUUCAGGACAGGGUACUGGGCAGAGGCCGGCUAAGAGUUAGAGAUUUCCUGACGGGAAAAGUAACCCCCACGGUUGAUUUAAAAAUAAAAAAAAGUUUAGUUGUUGUCCAUCCUUUUUUUUCAGACAAAUAAGUCAUCUCUACUGCCAUUUGGAUUGUACAGAGAGCAUCACUCGGCGGUGGUGCCUCUCCUCCCGCUGCUUCCGUGGGCGAUGCGAUCCCCUUGCUGUAGAUUUGAUUGACUGGAAACAUGUCGGUGUGGUGGUGGGAGCGACCCGGGAUGCAGCUGCUGGCAAGGGAGACGGGGAGUACCUGUACCCAAUCCACACAGCAUCACCUUUAAAAUGAUUAUAUGACGAUGCUUUAAUUUAAUGGAUCCGUUUAUGUUAUUAUGAUGCGUUGUUUUUUUAUUUGAAAUGAAUAAACAACGCUCAAUGGAUUUAUUACCUGAGGCUUGAUCGGUUGUGUUCUGAUUUUUGUUUCUGUUGUGGAGGUAGCCUACGCUAUCUGCAGAUUGUGUUUGAUGAUAUAGCCCUCAGCAUCAGUACCAGGUUCAAUCAGAAACACCUUGAUGAACCACCACCAGGAAAUACAAGGACUGUUGCAAUGGAGUCGCCUUUCACAUAGAUCACAUCUCAUCUGUAAACCAAUGUACAUAAUAUAAUAUACCACCACGUUUGCUGGCGUUUUGCAGGUCGCUUUAUUUCAUGGAGUUUUUUCCACCUUUAUUUUCUGAGUAGAUUUUUUUUUGAAGUACACAUAAAUAA